Molecule: long non-coding RNA, 1201 nt
Organism: Photinus pyralis (common eastern firefly)
Lineage: Eukaryota; Metazoa; Arthropoda; Insecta; Coleoptera; Lampyridae
Exons: 3
Source: RefSeq, a predicted model, not a curated record
AAAAAUAUCACUCACUGCGUCAGAGCGACUACUAUGUGGAUCAAUUGUUCUUAAUGAAAGUGAAUUACAUAUAUCAUGAUCGCCUAUAUUCUCGUAAUUACAUGCACUCUGCAAUUUACCCCAGCCAAUCUUUUCGAAUUUAACAUGAACGUAGAGCAGUUACAAAAAUUUGCCGCAAGCGCUCAAAACUACUGUGCCAAAACAAUCGAUAUAACACCGGUCAACAUUGCCAGCGGGACUGACAAUGAAAAGUUUCAAUCUUGUUAUCUGAAGGAGUGGCACCGGUUGCAAAACAUUGUUGAUGAAAAUUGUCCUGAACUCCAAGGGAAUUCGUUACAUGAAAAGAGGAGUUAUUACUUGCAGUGUUUCGAUGAUGGUAUAAAUGCAAUGGUUCAGAAUUAUGAGAAAAUUCUACCAUAAAUGGUUGCAUGGUGACCGUUAGAUCCCUCCGUAAUAUAUUAAUAUUAACACAAUCAAAAUUAGACUCGAGUUGCGAAAUCAAUAGAAAACUUGCCUGAAAUUGAUUAAUAAAUCAAUGACGGCGAUAUAAGACGGAGCCUUGUAAAUAUUGUACUUAACAAAUAAUAAGAGUAAAAUGCCCCUGUUCCUCAAAAAUCUUCUUUUCGUCCACUUUACAUAUUACCUACCAUUGUAUUUUUAUAAAUACAAUGAUAUUACCUACUGCCUGUAGAGAAGAAAGAAUUGUGGCAAUUAGAAGAACCGCCCAUGGAUUCUUCGUCCAGACGUCCUCCCUUCUUCCGACACUUCGUUUUUGGGAUAUUCGUUCUCAGCAAUAGAUAUUCGCUCUUAAAGUUUUGACACCACCGAUGGAUAAUCAGACGUCCUAAUUUUUGUGAGUAUUUACCCUCUUCCAACAUUCCGCUAUGAGAUAUGAGGAAUGAUAGCCGAUCACGAUAAGGGAUCGAGGACUGUGGUUGGUAGAAAUGAAUUCCUUUCGUUGGGACCUUUUAUUGCCAUAAAGCGAGACAAUUUGUUUGUUGCAUGUAAAAGUUAUUGCGAAAAGUAGCACGUUCUUUUCAUUCUUAAAAAAUGCGCUAAAAAUAGAUUCGGUACUAAGCACAGUUCACAAUUAAUACUAGUAGCUCACAUGAGUAGGAAACCUAUAUCGAAAUUGUUUUGACUGAAAUAAAUAAAUUCUAUAAUGUCCUCGAUUUCCACUUUCAUCCCGCUCAUGAUACAG